RNAcentral lists this ribosomal RNA (305 nucleotides) under uncultured bacterium. RNAcentral describes it as "partial 16S ribosomal RNA". It matches the Rfam family "Bacterial small subunit ribosomal RNA", at positions 508 to 807 of the family's 1533-position model. The record is from RNAcentral.
ACAGCAGCCGCCACGGGAAUACGUAGGGUGCAAGCAUUAAUCGGAAUUGCUGGGCGUAAAGCGUGCGCAGGCGGUUAUAUAAGACAGAUGUGAAAUCCCCGGGCUCAACCUGGGAACUGCAUUUGUGACUGUAUAGCUAGAGUACGGCAGAGGGGGAUGGAAUUCCGCGUGCAGCAGUGAAAUGCGUAGAUAUGCGGAGGAACACCGAUGGCGAAGGCAAUCCUCUGGGCCUGUACUGACGCUCAUGCACGAAAGCGUGGGGAGCAAACAGGAUUAGAUACCCCUGUAGUCCCUGUCUCUUAUAC